RNAcentral lists this long non-coding RNA (2420 nucleotides) under Rattus norvegicus (Norway rat). RNAcentral's name for it is "long non-coding RNA NONRATT012376". The record is from RNAcentral. Lineage: Eukaryota; Metazoa; Chordata; Mammalia; Rodentia; Muridae.
GAGUAUGAACUGACCAGGGGCUAGGGUCAUAAACUCCAUGGCCCACGUUUUUCUUUGGCCCUGGAAACACACCUAGGACAGUGGUGAUGUGGCUUGGCAGUUAAUAGCUUCUGAGUACCAAUGCACGGAGGCCAGUGCAGGGGACCAACAUCCCACUGCCAUUCCAGAGCCUUCCACUCUUCUGUCUUUGCACUGAAGAGUUUCUGCAGAGAGAUCCACAUCUCAGCAGGGUUAGCAUUGGGCAAAACGUUGCCAGCCAUGACUGUCUGUGGUGUCCCUGACUGCUCCACUUAUCCAGAGAGACCUUGUCCCUGCCUCCCCUCUCAGAAUAUGCCUCCAGUUGCCCUGUUGACAGGACCCCUGAAGGGUUGGAUAUGCACUGAGGGAAAGGCACCCUAGACUCUAAGGAGUCCUCUGCAGCACUGUUUUUCUUCCGAACCAAGCUCACAGACCCUUGGGUGCAAAGUUCUGCCCCAACCCCCCCCCCCCGGGGUGUGUCCAGCUUUCAGAGUCACCACGAUGUCACUAGGUGACAGCUUACUCCCUAACCCAUCUGGCAUUUAGAAAGAUGCCAGAUGGCCAGCCUGGCCAACCACAAAAGAGUUAUCCCCUUGUCAAACCAGUUGGGACCGUGUUACUCUUAGGAUGCAGCCUAAGUGAGGCCAUUCAAUUCUCUGGAGCGUUGACGGUCAGUUGCUAACCCAGGAAGCAGAGUUAGAGGAAAGCUUAGAUCAGCCCUACAGGUAGGGCUGCCGCUCUCCUGGCACCGUCUGGAUGGAGUACACCUCUAUCCAGAGCAAAGACAACACCAUUACUGGUUAUUAUUAUUAUUAUUAUUAUUAUCAUUAUUAUUAUUAUUAAUUUGAAUGUCCAGAGAGGUAUUCAGGGAAAAUGUAGUGGGGAUUUUAGCAUGGCCGUACACACGGUCUUCCCAAAAGGCUUACUGACUUUUGAAUGUGUACAUGGUAGAAGGAAAGAUGCAGAAAUCUUUCCCUGAACUUCCCUAGGGUGGAGAUAGGCACAUGUUCUGGGUAGAGGUCCCUGCCUGGCCAGGCCUGAGGGCUGUACUUCCUCUUAUUAAAUCAGCAGCUGUACUUCAGGCUGCUGUGGUGGCCAAGCCUGACAGGCCUUCCCCAGCCAGGAAGAGUCCUGAGGAACUCCUCCCACAAAGGCCCAUGGCUUCCCUGCUGGCUUUGGUUCUAGGGCCCUUCUGACUGCCUGGGAACAGAAAUCCCAAACUCACCUACUCUCUGCUGCUAAUCAGCAGCCUUCGUUGUUCCCCAUCCCCUUGGCGCGCCCUGAGAUGGCCCUUCUCUUUACAUACGGAAGAAACUGGACAGAAUGUCCACACUGCUUCCUUCAGGGAACAUUUGCAGAAGUCACUUGCUCAGAGUUAGGGGAGUGCCUUCAGAGUUAGUGUCACAGCCUUCGGGGAUGGUUCCUACCCAGGCUCGGCAGCCUCCCCAGCUGUAGGACAGUACUUCCGCUCUCCUGAAAGCCCGGACUCAGUCUUCAGAGAGCUGUAACCACACGUUUCCCCCACUUUGUUAGGACAACUGAAGUGACUCGAAUUGUUCCCAAAGUUGACAAUUUGACAUUAAUUACAGGGGUGGGGGAAUAAAACGCAAGCUAGACGGCUUAAAACAUCCCUUUCUGGAAAAAGCUGCAGUUUGCAAGCGAGUUCAUCCUGAGCGUGCGCCGUCCCCAUCUGAGCCCUGUAGACUUUGGGUUAGCAGGAAAGGAGAAAGUGAAAUGUGUCAGACCUUAGGUUUUUCUCUCAAAAGCAGGCAUUGCGGAACCCCCAUCUCAGUCCACUCUCCUGACAGAGGAGCCCACUGCUAAUAAACUGGCUUUUCCAAAAUCUGGAUCACUUCAUUCCCCAGACCCCCUAGAAGCCCUGCCAGGUUUUUAAACUGCGAGCCUUUCCACCAGUAGAGAAACCAAACCACUCAAGGGUCAGUGUGAGGAGACACUCCGAGUUUCUUUUUCUCCUGCUUAUGAACACGUCUUUGUACUUUUGGAAUGAGCAUCGUAGUGUGUCGCUUCGAUGAAUGGGAUCCCAGGUUCUCCCUGUGCACAGCCAGUAGGCAGAUGUCACCUUUGGUGACUUCUUCCUCCCUUGAGUCUGUUCCUCCCCCAAGCAGGUUGCUUUCUCCAGUUGCUUCCUGGUGUCUGUACAUAGUUCGUCUUUGUAUAGGAGUGAUUGUGGUGACCGUCGAUCCCGCACCCUCCCGGGGUUCUAACUUAACAGACGACGGCUAUACGAGGAAGAUGCUGUACAUAGAAUAUAAAUUAAACUGGAUCUCUGUGGCCUAGGUUUUGUACAUACAGAAACUGCAUGGUGUUUAAAUUAUUGUUUCUCUCUGAUGAUGUAUGCAGUUUCUUUAAAAACAAGCCAAACCAAAAAAAAAAAAAAGUUU